Mauremys reevesii (Reeves's turtle) is the source of this 907-nucleotide long non-coding RNA. RefSeq lists it as uncharacterized. The transcript has 4 exons. The record is from RefSeq and is a predicted model, not a curated record. NCBI's taxonomy places the organism in Eukaryota, Metazoa, Chordata, Testudines, Geoemydidae.
GGCAGCUGUCCUGACUGGCCGGAGCCUCCCUGGCCCUGCUGCUACCCGGAGGAGCUGCCUGAGCACACCUGGCCCGACUUCCCUGAGGAUCUGCUGGAGCUGCCACCAAGCCCUGGCCGAGAGGAGCCUAUGCUGAUUGACUGGCCUGGACCCGGUGCAAGUGACGAGUACCACGGAGAAAGAAGUGAAGGGUAAGAGCCCACCCCAAUUGUGAGAUGGAAGGCGCCCAAGAGCCGUGAGACAGUGAGCGUUGUGGAUUCCAGGCUAUGCAGAUGCCAUGAAGCUGGGAGUGGAGCAGACGUCACCAUCAGUGAGAUAAGUGUCUAGUUUGGUGAGGACUCUUGUAACGGUCCACCUGCCUCCAGGCCAGGACUUGUCGUUAGCUGGGGCUGAGUUUGUAGGAAAAGGUUCCUGAAUAGCUGUAGUUACGAGGGAGACAAGGUCCCCAUUUUCAGGGGCUGGUCAUUUCUCUGUCCACAAGCAGUGUGUUCUCUGCAGCAGAAGGUUGGAUCCAGGGGGAUGACUCCAGCUGAGGAAUCAUCCAGGAGCAGCAGCCGGAGGAGAAAUUGGCAGAAGUGGACCUGAGCCGCCUGGAAAUCCUCUUAAGUGGAGAUCAACAGUCCUCAGCUUUCUGCCUCCCACAUAACUGCCUUACCAAGGGAAAAGAAGUCACGUGUCAGUGUCUACUGCCUUCAUGCCAUGGAAAGCGAGCGAGAGCGAUAGGACCCCAAGAACUACUGAUGCCAAGGAAAAGCUGUCCUACUGGGAGUGGAACAGUAGCCACUCUCAAUGAGAACUGUCUGUUUUGGUGAUUGCUCUGCUCACGGCCCUGCCUGCUCCUGGUAGGGACGCCACAUUAGCUGGGGCUGGGUUUGUAAGAAAAUGUUCUUGGCUAGCUGUGGUUAGG